This 209-nucleotide long non-coding RNA is filed under the name Mytilus galloprovincialis (Mediterranean mussel). The record is from RNAcentral. Lineage: Eukaryota; Metazoa; Mollusca; Bivalvia; Mytilida; Mytilidae.
UGUGAAAUAAGAUUCAAUCUUUUUGAUACUUCAUUUGCAAUGCUAUAUAAAUUAAAUGUCAAAAUAUUCAGAAACUGUGCGUACUAUGAUUGCAUAAAUCAAAUUUGUGCACCCAUCAAAUUGUUAAACGUUUACUUACAAUUUAUUUGGUUUAUAUACAGUUUAUAUAUUCAUUUAUAUAUAUAAAAUAGACAUUCAUAUCGGAACCG